UUUUUAUGUGGUUUAUAUGAUUGAAAUUUGCAAUAUUGUUCUUGAAAUUUUUGGGUUUGCAAUAAUUUCAAUACCACUUUGUUCAUGGGCAGAGGAAUAGAAUAGAUGAGAAUAAUCAUCUGAUAAAAAAGUUUGUUUUGUCUAUGCUUGUGAUAGAACUGGAAUAUUGUAUUCCUCCCUUUUGGUUCUACAAAUGUAUGUUCCCC
RNAcentral lists this unclassified non-coding RNA (206 nucleotides) under Hevea brasiliensis (rubber tree). The record is from RNAcentral. Lineage: Eukaryota; Viridiplantae; Streptophyta; Magnoliopsida; Malpighiales; Euphorbiaceae.